Molecule: ribosomal RNA, 301 nt
Filed under: uncultured bacterium
Lineage: Bacteria
Description: partial 16S ribosomal RNA
Rfam family: Bacterial small subunit ribosomal RNA
Source: RNAcentral
CAGCAGCCGCGGUAAUACGAAGGGUGCAAGCGUUACUCGGAAUUACUGGGCGUAAAGCGUGCGUAGGUGGUGGUUUAAGUACGUUGUGAAAGCCCUGGGCUCAACCUGGGAAUUGCAGUGGAUACUGGGUCACUAGAGUGUGGUAGAGGAUAGUGGAAUUUCCGGUGUAGCAGUGAAAUGCGUAGAGAUCGGAAGGAACAUCUGUGGCGAAGGCGACUAUCUGGGCCAACACUGACACUGAGGCACGAAAGCGUGGGGAGCAAACAGGAUUAGAUACCCCUGUAGUCCCUGUCUCUUAUAC